RNAcentral lists this ribosomal RNA (253 nucleotides) under uncultured bacterium. RNAcentral's name for it is "partial 16S ribosomal RNA". It matches the Rfam family "Bacterial small subunit ribosomal RNA", at positions 524 to 776 of the family's 1533-position model. The record is from RNAcentral.
UACAGAGGGUGCAAGCGUUAAUCGGAAUUACUGGGCGUAAAGCGUGCGUAGACGGUUACAUAAGUCGGGUGUGAAAGCCCCGGGCUCAACCUGGGAAUUGCGAUGGAGACUGCAAGGCUAGAAUCUGGCAGAGGGGGGUAGAAUUCCACGUGUAGCAGUGAAAUGCGUAGAGAUGUGGAGGAACACCGAUGGCGAAGGCAGCCCCCUGGGUCAAGAUUGACGCUCAUGCACGAAAGCGUGGGGAGCAAACAGG